CCUACGGGAGGCAGCAGUGGGGAAUAUUGCACAAUGGGGGAAACCCUGAUGCAGCGACGCCGCGUGAAGGAAGAAGUAUUUCGGUAUGUAAACUUCUAUCAGCAGGGAAGAAAAUGACGGUACCUGACUAAGAAGCCCCGGCUACCUACGUGCCAGCAGCCGCGGUACUACGUAGGGGGCAAGCGUUAUCCGGAUUUACUGGGUGUAAAGGGAGCGUAGGCGGUUUAGCAAGUCAGAAGUGAAAGCCCGGGGCACAACUCCGGGACUGCUUUUGAAACUGUUGAACUAGAUUGCAGGAGAGGUAAGUGGAAUUCCUAGUGUAGCGGGGAAAUGCGUAGAUAUUAGGAGGAACACCAGUGGCGAAGGCGGCUUACUGGACUGUAAAUGACGCUGAGGCUCGAAAGCGUGGGGAGCAAACAGGAUUAGAUACCCUGGUAGUC
Molecule: ribosomal RNA, 440 nt
Filed under: uncultured bacterium
Lineage: Bacteria
Description: partial 16S ribosomal RNA
Rfam family: Bacterial small subunit ribosomal RNA
Source: RNAcentral